CAGGUGUCUCUGGUUUCUCCAUUUUCAUGCUCCGACACCCUCUCUGAUCGCUCUCCAAGACAUCAUUAAGUUCAUUGCUCUUUCACACUGCCUGCUGGAGCCGGAGCUGUAAUUCCAGUUAGUGAGGGAUCAGAUGGAGGUCACCACUGGUCUGUGGGGGUUUCAGCGCUGCACAAGUCCAUCGAGCCUCUCCAGACUACAUUACAGCUUUUAUCCCCACUAAUGGGAUCUCUUGGUGGGGAAUCCUGAGGGUGAUGGGGAUUAGGAUACCUGGCCUUGCUCCCACGCACAGUUUACCAUGUGGGGCGCAGAAAAUAUGUUGCACAUGCUGAGACGGCUGCAGGAAACCUUUACAUCUCUGGAUACCCAAAGACACCACAGAGACCGGUGUUUUUUGAGCAUGAUUUAUCUGUGUUCACACGCAUAUUGUCAGGAAUUAUGUCUCAUAGUCAUCCUCUCUUUGCACAGUUGUAGCUUUUUGUGGCCUCUCCACGCCCUGACCCGUUUGAAUCUGACACCGCCUGCAACUCAAUGAGAGAGUAUCAGAUGAUAGAGAGCAGGGCGACGCUCGGGUCCGGGGAGACGACGCUGAAUGUUAACUUUCUAUCCUGCUUGAUUUAGAAAGACAUUGUUGGAUACGUUUUGGAGUUUCCCAGUGUUACGGCCAAAGAAGAAGAAAGAGGAGUGAGAAAAGCUGAACUUGGAGGAAUAUUAAAGAGAAGGCCUCGCGUAGAGAGGAGGGAGAGAAAGCUUUUAGGAAAGCUGGCUGAGAAUACGUCUUUUAAAAAAAAAUAAAGGUAUUACAAAAGAGAAAGUCAUGCUCAUGCUGCCAAACUGAAAUGACAUCAUGCUGAGGGAAAGCUGGGGAUAAAUACAUACCCAAAAGGCCCUGCAGGAGAACCAGG
Molecule: non-coding RNA, 905 nt
Organism: Labrus bergylta (ballan wrasse)
Lineage: Eukaryota; Metazoa; Chordata; Actinopteri; Labriformes; Labridae
Source: RefSeq, a predicted model, not a curated record